CCCACAUGAAGUCGGAGUUGCUAGUAAUCGCGGAUCAGCAUGCCGCGGUGAAUACGUUCCCGGGCCUUGUACACACCGCCCGUCACACCAUGGGAGUUGGGAGUGCCCAAAGCCGGUGAGGCAACCGAAAGGAGCCAGCCGUCUAAGGCAAGACCAAUGACUGGGGUGAAGUCGUAACAAGGUACC
RNAcentral lists this ribosomal RNA (186 nucleotides) under uncultured bacterium. Its description in RNAcentral is "partial 16S ribosomal RNA". It matches the Rfam family "Bacterial small subunit ribosomal RNA", at positions 1315 to 1500 of the family's 1533-position model. The record is from RNAcentral.